This 832-nucleotide ribosomal RNA is filed under the name Ascopolyporus galloides. RNAcentral describes it as "partial 28S ribosomal RNA". It matches the Rfam family "Eukaryotic large subunit ribosomal RNA", at positions 74 to 937 of the family's 3401-position model. The record is from RNAcentral. Lineage: Eukaryota; Fungi; Ascomycota; Sordariomycetes; Hypocreales; Cordycipitaceae.
AUUGCCCCAGUAACGGCGAGUGAAGCGGCAACAGCUCAAAUUUGAAAUCUGGUCCCCAGGGCCCGAGUUGUAAUUUGUAGAGGAUGCUUUUGGCGCGGCGCCUUCCGAGUUCCCUGGAACGGGACGCCAUAGAGGGUGAGAGCCCCGUCUGGUCGGAUGCCAAGCCUCUGUAAAGCUCCUUCGACGAGUCGAGUAGUUUGGGAAUGCUGCUCAAAAUGGGAGGUAUAUGUCUUCUAAAGCUAAAUAUUGGCCAGAGACCGAUAGCGCACAAGUAGAGUGAUCGAAAGAUGAAAAGCACUUUGAAAAGAGGGUUAAACAGUACGUGAAAUUGUUGAAAGGGAAGCGCCUAUGACCAGACUUGGGCCCGGUGAAUCAUCCAGCGUUCUCGCUGGUGCACUUUGCCGGGCACAGGCCAGCAUCAGUUUGGCGCGGGGGAGAAAGGCUUUGGGAACGUGGCUCCCCCGGGAGUGUUAUAGCCCAUUGCGCAAUACCCUGCGCCGGACUGAGGUACGCGCAUUGCAAGGAUGCUGGCGUAAUGGUCAUCAGCGACCCGUCUUGAAACACGGACCAAGGAGUCGUCUUCGUAUGCGAGUGUUCGGGUGUCAAACCCCUACGCGUAAUGAAAGUGAACGCAGGUGAGAGCUUCGGCGCAUCAUCGACCGAUCCUGAUGUUCUCGGAUGGAUUUGAGUAAGAGCAUACGGGGCCGGACCCGAAAGAAGGUGAACUAUGCCUGUAUAGGGUGAAGCCAGAGGAAACUCUGGUGGAGGCUCGCAGCGGUUCUGACGUGCGAAUCGAUCGUCAAAUAUGGGCAUGGGGGCGAAAGACUAAUCG